This 305-nucleotide long non-coding RNA is filed under the name Equus caballus (horse). Its description in RNAcentral is "lncRNA (ENSECAG00000048946.1)". Lineage: Eukaryota; Metazoa; Chordata; Mammalia; Perissodactyla; Equidae. The record is from RNAcentral.
AGCCUCCUUGCCAACUCCUACUCAGACUUCACACUAGGUAAUUCCAUUGAAGGACAGAUGCUUUCUUUUACAUCAGCAGAGAAAGCUGGAGGAAAAGUCAAAUUGUUAGGUGAAAUCCUAAAGACCAUGAUGCAAAACAGAAGAGUAAUCUUUAUUUUGGAAGCUAUGCAAAUCAGCCUUGCCUGAGAAUCUGUGGCCCAUUAGCAAGUAACACGGUAUGAAAUGCCACUGAGCAAAGCUGUGUUCACCACCACAAAAUGAAAGAGCGAGAUGACAGAUUCAUAACAUGAAGAACAAGAAUCAGG